GUAGAGCGACAUAGGCGCACAGUGGCAGGAGAGAGAGAGAGCGAGAGAGCGAGAGAGCGAGAGAGAGAGGAGCGGUCCCUCUUUUCCUUUGUCUGACGCUCCGUCUCGAGCUUUUGGGACAUUACUUGAAGGCACGUCAUCAUGCUCACAGUACACUGGAACCUUAAACUCAGACGGCCCGUUAAAUGUUCCCCAAAUGUUUGGGAGACAGACGUAGGACCUCCAGAGUCAUCUAUGAAGAAGCGUUCGGGAUGAAGAGGCAGAACACUUAGAUUUUUGGGAGAAGAUGAAGACUCUGGAUUUAAACCCCUGGAGCAGCUUUGCCAUUCGAGGCAUACAUGGAAAUGUAAAAACCUGGAUAUACUUUGGAGAUUAAAAAGCUCACCAGGAUGGCAGUGUACCUACGUUGCAACGCCUGCAGACACACGUGGCCACCAGUUGACCUGGUUUCUCUGCCUCCUUUUCCAGUCCCAAAACUGUCUGUUCGCACAUCUGGAUGACCCGAUACGACGUUGACGAACAACUUGUUCAACAAGUACCUUUUUGACAAGGAGGAGGGGAACUAAAAAAGAAGGAAAACGAGCCCUGCUGAUGACGCCAUGGCUAAAGAGUAACAGGAUGCGAAAGAAAGAUAAAUUGGAGAAAGAUGGGGGUGGCGUUGUACAGCGAGACAUCUCCUUGAUGUUAAUCGUGGCCUACUGACCUUCCAGUCACCUGUUCUGGCGCACUGUCUGCUCUGGCACUCUGUCUCGCUGAAGUUGUAACACAAAGAAAUCUAUGGUCAGCUGAGCACAAUCAGCUAAAGUUUGAGAAGGUGGAUCACAUGCAGCUUCGAAGCUUUGAAUCGGCAUGUCAACAUUGUGGAGCACUGACUCCUCUGGAGAUGGAGCUGAACCCUUAACCUCCAGCAGUGCAAAGACUUGGCAGUCCAGGACUUUGCUAUUGGCAGGCUAUUCGAGAAACAGCAAGGAUGCUGGUGUGUGUGUGUUUUAUUUUGUGUGUUGCUAAGUGUGAACUUUAUCUUGG
Molecule: long non-coding RNA, 1026 nt
Organism: Phyllopteryx taeniolatus (common seadragon)
Lineage: Eukaryota; Metazoa; Chordata; Actinopteri; Syngnathiformes; Syngnathidae
Exons: 6
Source: RefSeq, a predicted model, not a curated record